AAGAACUAAUUUAUUUUCAGAUUUUAAAAAUUAGAAAAUGAAAUUGAUUUCAUGUUUCGUUCUUCUCAGUUCUUCACUUGGCUUCUCAGCCGCUACGGAGGGUGGAGAUUGCAGAGCCUCUGAAUCUUGCAUCCCUAUUAGAUCAUGCGACGAGAUAGUUCAGCAGCUUCAGAUUGCUAAAUCAACAUCAGACAGGGA
Long non-coding RNA from Eurytemora carolleeae, 198 nucleotides. RefSeq lists it as uncharacterized. The record is from RefSeq and is a predicted model, not a curated record. The transcript is spliced from 3 exons. NCBI's taxonomy places the organism in Eukaryota, Metazoa, Arthropoda, Copepoda, Calanoida, Temoridae.